GACGAACGCUGGCGGCGUGCUUAACACACGCAAGUCGAACGGUAAGGCCCUUCGGGGUACACGAGUGGCGAACGGGUGAGUAACACGUGGGUGAUCUGCCCUGCACUUCGGGAUAAGCCUGGGAAACUGGGUCUAAUACCGGAUAGGACCACGGCCUGCAUGGGUGGUGGUGGAAAGCUUUUGCGGUGUGGGAUGGGCCCGCGGCCUAUCAGCUUGUUGGUGGGGUGAUGGCCUACCAAGGCGACGACGGGUAGCCGGCCUGAGAGGGUGACCGGCCACACUGGGACUGAGAUACGGCCCAGACUCCUACGGGAGGCAGCAGUGGGGAAUAUUGCACAAUGGGCGCAAGCCUGAUGCAGCGACGCCGCGUGAGGGAUGACGGCCUUCGGGUUGUAAACCUCUUUCAGCACCGACGAAGCGCAAGUGACGGUAGGUGCAGAAGAAGGACCGGCCAACUACGUGCCAGCCGCCGCAGUAA
This 478-nucleotide ribosomal RNA is filed under the name uncultured bacterium. RNAcentral's name for it is "partial 16S ribosomal RNA". It matches the Rfam family "Bacterial small subunit ribosomal RNA", at positions 28 to 523 of the family's 1533-position model. The record is from RNAcentral.